GCCGGGUGUGGUGGUGCACGCCUGUAAUCCCAGCUACUCAGGAGGCUGAGGCAGGAGAAUCGCUUGAACCCGGAAGGUGGAGCUUGCAGUGAGCUGAGAUCGCGCCACUGCACUCCAGUCUGGGUGACAGAGUGAGACUCUGUCUCAA
Molecule: non-coding RNA, 148 nt
Filed under: Gorilla gorilla gorilla (western lowland gorilla)
Lineage: Eukaryota; Metazoa; Chordata; Mammalia; Primates; Hominidae
Source: Rfam by way of RNAcentral